UGCCAUUUAUAAUUGUUAUCAUUUUAGGAUGAGUAAGGAAAGAGAAGAUUAUAAUAAUGAUUACACUGCCAAGAGUUUGUGAUUGAAUUGUGAAUGAUAUCAGUCCUGAUCCGGCCUAAUGCAUCCUGAAUCAUAAAUCUUGGGCAGCAAUGAGCCUAGCUUGAUCUAUCAGCCUUGAUACAAUCAUGCUGAAAUUAAUACUGGUUCAGCCAGAGCAGCAUGCAUGAUUCAGCAAUGAUACUUGUCAGACUGUAUCAAUACUGUAAUCAGGCUUGAUUCAUUGAUUUUGGGCAGUGUCUUGUACCAUACCGAUAUUCUCCUCCAUAAGAGAGAACUCACUCCACAUUCUGUUCAGAAACUCUGAACAGAUUCACAUCCUCCAACAGUGUCUGGGAGCUGCCAAAGGGUGUAUAUGUAUGUUAAUGUGAGUCUAUUUGAUACUGUAAUGAAAUUAAUGAAUGCAAGACAAGUAGCACUGGGGAAGGCAACAAUUAACACACGUCACAAAAACAAUUUCAUGAUUAUAUUUCAUGAUAAUAA
This is a long non-coding RNA of Amphimedon queenslandica, 540 nucleotides long. RefSeq lists it as uncharacterized. The record is from RefSeq and is a predicted model, not a curated record. Lineage: Eukaryota; Metazoa; Porifera; Demospongiae; Haplosclerida; Niphatidae. The transcript has 3 exons.